UAGUACGAGAGGACCGGGAUGGACAUACCUCUGGUGUACCAGUUGUCGUGCCAACGGCAUAGCUGGGUAGCUAUGUAUGGACGGGAUAAGUGCUGAAAGCAUCUAAGCAUGAAGCCCCCCCUCAAGAUGAGAUUUCCCAACUUCGGUUAUAAGAUCCCUCGAAGAUGACGAGGUUAAUAGGUUCGAGGUGGAAGCGUGGUGACACGUGGAGCUGACGAAUACUAAUCGAUCGAAGACUUAAUCAA
RNAcentral lists this ribosomal RNA (245 nucleotides) under Staphylococcus epidermidis NIH051475. Its description in RNAcentral is "partial 23S ribosomal RNA". It matches the Rfam family "Bacterial large subunit ribosomal RNA", at positions 2679 to 2925 of the family's 2925-position model. The record is from RNAcentral. Lineage: Bacteria; Bacillati; Bacillota; Bacilli; Caryophanales; Staphylococcaceae.